GAUGAACGCUGGCGGCGUGCCUAAUACAUGCAAGUCGAGCGAACGGACGAGAAGCUUGCUUCUCUGAUGCUAGCGGCGGACGGGUGAGUAACACGUGUAUAACCUACCUAUAAGACUGGGAUAACUUCGGGAAACCGGAGCUAAUACCGGAUAAUAUUUUGAACCGCAUGGUUCAAAAGUAAAAGACGGUCUUGCUGUCACUUAUCGAUGGAUCCGCGCUGCAUUAGCUAGUUGGUAAGGUAACGGCUUACCAAGGCAACGAUGCAUAGCCGACCUGAGAGGGGGAUCGGCCACACUGGAACUGAGACACGGUCCAGACUCCUACGGGAGGCAGCAGUAGGGAAUCUGCCGCAAUGGGCGAAAGCCUGACGGAGCAACGCCGCGUGAGUGAUGAAGGUCUUCGGAUCGUAAAACUCUGUUAUUAGGGAAGAACAUAUGUGUAAGUAACUGUGCACAUCUUGACGGUACCUAAUCAGAAAGCCACGGCUAACUACGUG
Molecule: ribosomal RNA, 497 nt
Filed under: uncultured bacterium
Lineage: Bacteria
Description: partial 16S ribosomal RNA
Rfam family: Bacterial small subunit ribosomal RNA
Source: RNAcentral